CACAGCUUAAAUCACAUUACCUUGUAAAAGUCUUUGGUUGUGAGAUUUAUACCCAAGUCUAGCCAUGGUUUUCACCAAGGGUAAAAUCAGGAUCAAAAGUAAACAGGGAAGCUUUUAGUACACUUUUACAAGAGUUUUUAUCAGUUACAAGUUCUUUUAGAAAUAUUUCAGAAAUGUGUACGGGCAAGUUGAGAAACAUGGCACCAGCGUGUCUAAAAGUUUUAGCACUGCAUAUUUCAGUGGUGCCAUUUCAGCUGUUGGUGCUCUAUGUGUGGACAUGGCAGGAACAUAAAUACAGGUUAUUAUGAACACAUAGUACUGUCCUUCUCAUCUCCCACAUACCUGCAAGUUAGCAGUUUCUUGUCGUCAAACUAUGCUUAUAAUAUUUUCCUGUGUUUCAAAUUCUCUUUUUAUCACAUGUAAAUAUAUAAUUACAUUUUGUUUCUAUCGAAAUCAAAAUGACUUCUACACGGAUUAUAUCUAACAUGCUAGAUCAUGCUAGAUUUCCUAUUCACAUUGACUUUUGUAACUCAUGCGUAGUAGCUAAAAAGUUGACACUUUAAUUUGAACCGAAAGCCCUGCAUUCCCAAGGCCCUAGCAAUGGUGUUCUCCGUGUACUGAUCAUCUGAUGUUCAGGCAACACAGUCUGACAUAUUUCUAAAGCAGACAUCCCCCCUUAUUAUCCAUCUGCGUUUUCUUUAUGAAACAUACAAGAUAGCAUUGUCACAUAGCUUAAUAAGAAUACACAGUCUACUGGUUUGUUGUAAUUCCGGCGGCUUUGUUCUUGCUCACUCCUUUCUUCUUGGUCUCUCCUUCUCUUUCAUGAUUGUUUUGCUGGUCAUGAUGAUAUCUCUUUGAAAAUGAGAAGAAAAGGGAAGGAAUCAGUGUUCAAUCUUUAGCAUCUGUAGCCAGCUACUACCUUCUCUUUUAUGUGUGUUUUAUUUUUGUCUUCCUCCCUUCUCCUUAUUGUAGUCCCUCUCGUCCCAGUAUGCACACACACAAACACACAGAACUUAUCAACUAUCAACUUUAUCUCAUCUUUACAACCGCACAACAAAGACAGCAGUGCAGUGCAGUUCCAUCUCUGAGAAAUCAGCAACUGUGAGAUAAUUCUGUAACUAAUAAAGUGAAAGGGGCCCUUUGAUGGCCGGAGCUGAAAAGAUACUUAAUUUUUUGUGUGUGGGAUUUGAGAUGUGUGAUUCUAUGGAGCGAGCUGGCUCCCCUGCUGCUAGGCUCUGGCUAGAAGCUGGCCCCCCUCUGGCUAAUGUUAUGGAGAAUCGGUGGAAUUUUAUGGCUGUCUUUUCCCUCAGCCCCCUCUUUUCUUUUGUUCCCCUUUGAAGAAUGACUUUAGACAUUUUAUUUACAUAUUUAACCAUGGAUGAAAGAAACACAGGGUGAAAAACGAAAGCUCCUUCAGUUCUUGUGGGAAUUUGGAUAAGUUUAAAUGAACCAAAAUUCUAUUAGCUUUUAUAAAUUAAUUUAAGUUAGUUUUUUCUCAAAUUGGGAGAUGCACAGACAGUCCGCCAGAAUAAUAGGGAUACCAUUGAAAAGGACACCAAUCUUGUUCUGAUAUCAAAUUUCAACAACUGUCUGGUAUGACAGCAAUUCAACCAAACCUUGUAAAGCUAAAUAUCUGAUUUAAUUACUUGUGGUUAAGGUGUAGCCCAGUCUGUUACAACAUGUGAGGUAUGCCAUGGAAGAGAGAGGGGGACGUUUUAGACAUGUUUUGUAUUGUUGGCGAAGCUGAAAGGGCAUUUUGAUUAAACGUACGGGUGGGGUAAGGGUAUAAUCUUCUUAACCAAGGCCUCCUCUCUUCAUUCAUGGCCCACAAUAAGAAGAAACAACACUCUGUUGGAGGUUAGACUAUUUAUUUAGAUGCCCUGCUCAUUGUUCAGAGGUCUUGUUGUCCAUUGCAAUUCCAUGCAUUUAUUUAACAUUAUAGAGCUUAGUUCGUUCUCCUAAACAUUUUUAAGUAUGUAUAUGUAGUAAAUUAGUUAUUACAGGGGAUAUUUUUUCAAUGAGACUCGGGUUUGUCAUUUAAUGGCCCUAUUUUUUCCUGUCAGUCAUAAGUUAUUAUGAGCCUAUUUGAUAACAUGAUUAUUUAAAAAAGGUGAUCAAAUGCUGCUUCUUUCCAGCCCAAAGUGUGUUACAUUAAAGAGAUGAAUAAAUAAAUGAGAAUAGAAAUUAAUGAAGAGUAAUAUAGAUUGUAGAGAAAUGAAUGAGAAAGCCUUGCUACGUCUACUAAGAAUGAAUAUUCAAACUUCCAUAAAUGUAUGGAGAAAUCAUAAAAAAGUAAAUAAAAAAAUAAAAUCAAUCCCAUUUGAAAUGCAAGAGCUUAAAUAAGAGCAUCAGUUUUGGUAAAGGGUCAGAUGUUUUGAGGAAAUGCGCAUGAAUCUGGCAAUUAAUUAUUUAAGAGCCCUGCAAAACAUCAAAGCUCCAUGUAUUCUUUGCACAUAUGGUUUUAAUAGUUCAAUCAAAAUAACUUAUUAAUGAGAGCUAAUUUGUCCUACUCUCUAUCUAUGCUUCAAGAAAAUCUACUUUUGUAUAUGCUACACAGUCUCACACAUCAUGGAUUUUGUGCGUUCUGUGUGUUUUAGUGACAGCUGAUGGUGUGAAAAUGGUUAGACAACAAAAACAGUUAAGGUUAGGUAACACUCCCACAUUGUUAAGGUUAGGGCUAAGGUUUUACAACAAAAACAGUUAAGGUUAUGUAACACUCCCACAUCGUUAAGGUUAGGGGUAAGGUUUUACAACAAAAACAGUUAAGGUUAGGUAACACUCCCACAUCGUUAAGGUUAGGGCUAAGGUUUACAACAAAAACAGUUAAGGUUAGGUAACACUCCCACAUCGUUAAGGUUAGGGCUAAGGUUUUACAACAAAAACAGUUAGGGUUAGUUAACUCCCGAAUAGUUGUAGUUCAAGGUAAGUUUAGACAUAAUUUUUUUUCACUCUGGUGAUUCAAACUCACAAGCACUGACUUACAAACCACCUAAUGCAUUUUUGCACAAAUCAGGUCUACAUAAAACACUCAAAAGUGCACAAAUUCCAUGAAAUUCUUUUUACUCUGAUUUGUGUGAAUUAGACCCUGUUGGUAUAUCUGAGUCACAAGCAGACAUCCUUAUAAUAGUUAGUUGUGCAGUGAUGUUGUGGCUACUGCAAGUCUUAAAGCCAUUUUGGAAAACCAACACACUGGUGGUAUGUAUCUGCUGUGUUGGUGGAUAAUUAAAGGGAGUUAAUAAGGGCAACUCACUGCUGGUGUUUAUAGUGUGGAUUAGUUGAGAGAUGAUGACAGAUACUUUCAAACAAAUGGGGCAAGUCUCACUGGCCCUCUAACAGUUUUGCAAUAAACACAGUGGUAUAAUGAAUUAUGUCUGUUGUGCAUCAGAUCCAAUAACUCUUGGAACUUCUUAGAAAAGGGAAAUGUUAGUAUAGUAGUUUGUUCUUACAUCAUCCUCCUUUCAAGUGGUCGUCAUUUGACACGCAUAUGAGGAGAAGAAGGCGUCCCCUCUGAGUCUGUUCACUAGCUCCAGGCAGAGCACUGAAGCAAAACAGUUACAGUUAACUUCUUGCAAAACACAUUUUUGCUGGGAAAGUCAUUUUGGAUCCGAUGGGAAUCUGUGUUUGCUGGACUUGUUUUUGCAUUUUAAUAAAACGUUUCUCAGAACAUGGUGUGACUUACUGACAUUACAGUUUGGAUGCAGCGACGAAUGAAGGAGGAAAAAACUGUUAGAAAGAGAGUAAACAACUUAAGGCUUCCAUUGGUGAAGAGAAUUGAUGGAAGUAUUACCCAGGGUCCUCGUGGGGGCACUUGAGUGUGAAUCGCUAAUCAGGAAGGCCUUCUCUUUUCUAAUCCCUCUUUGAGUGGCCGGCCUGGAAUGAGUACAUCUGGGGAGACUCCCCACUGCUUCUGGCUCUGGAGGUUCUAUUCAGAGCCACAGCCCUCCUGUACCAUUCCCACAGUCCGCUUACACUGUGCAGCACAGCCACGCACACUCACGAGCACGUGCACACACACAACACACACACACACACACACACACACAGGCAUGUACAGACACACACACACACAUUUCCUGCUUCAACCAAAUUAGAUUAGACCCUUUCCUUUUCUCCCUAGCAAAGCACUGUCCUUUUCUCUGCCCAGAGACCUUCUCCUACCCUUUUGUCUCUGUUCCAAAAUAGAGAAACAAGUUCCCAAACAAACCCCCCCUAUGAAAGUUCUGGUAUAGAAACAGGCGAGCGAAAGGCAGCCAUCUUUGAAUGGCCUUAUUUGAUUUCAUAAUAUCAAUACCCCAUUUGUUCAACUACCCUAAUGAGGAUGUUUUGUGGCUUGGUUGGCAGAGCAGUGAGAACAAGGCCAGCUGCGCUGCAUGUCAACCUGUUAGUUCACAGGGAAGGGAGCCCCCUUCGUUCACUAUUUCUGAGUGUCUCUUCAUUCUAUUCCCUAAUAUUGUCUUACGUUUUCUUCUCUUUGCUCAUAAAUCAUUCAGUGAAUACAUUUCAACUCAUUCAUUAUAUCCUGUCCAUGUUAACUGCGCUGUUUGUGAUUGGUGGAUGUGUACCUUCAUACACCGCUGUCCUGUGAUGUGUUCUCUUCUUCAUUCAUCAGCUGGGGAAACUCACAAUAUCAAAAUCUAUGUUGGAGUUUCAGAGACCCUCUCAAUAAAGGAAAAGAUAUAUGAAGACUCUGUUCCUGUUGAGUGUGCAGCCAAAGCCAUCCCAAAAGCAGCAAAUUGAGAUCAAAGCUAAAUUAAAGCUGACUCGUUCAAAGACAGAUAAAAAUGUGUGAGCCUGCAGCCAUGUUUUCACUAUUGAUUUCCUUCUCUGCCUGCUCUCCCUGGAACAGGGUUGGCUCUGUGCAGGGCUGGGAGGCUGCCUGGUGCUGAGAGAGAGAGAGAGUAAAUGAUUAUUGAUAAAGUCUCAACAACGAUAAUGAUGAUGACUAGAUAGUUAUCAUGCUGAGAGUCAUUGAGAUGACUGUUCUAUUUUAUAUGUAUGCCAUUGCCAUAGUUUCCCUACAGCUUGCUGUGAUGGUGCAUCAGUGGCCAUGUUAUGUUUGAUAUGUGUGUAUGGUCAAUGCCAGCAUCCAGGUGUUCGUUGAUAUCCAGAAAAUUAUAAUUUGC
Molecule: long non-coding RNA, 5123 nt
Organism: Esox lucius (northern pike)
Lineage: Eukaryota; Metazoa; Chordata; Actinopteri; Esociformes; Esocidae
Source: Ensembl